CUGGGCAUUUCCUUUAAUUUGGGGAUUGCAUGUGCACACCUUCUCUUUCAUCCACACACCCCUGUGCACUUGUGAGACAGAUUGCUUUUUGGAGGGGGAACUUUAUGGAACCCUUUCUUUGUGUCUCUCUGUCUACUUAAUUAAUAUAAUCUCUUUUUAUUUUAAAGAGAGUGUAGGGUAUGUAACACAUCUAAUAAUAUUUUUCCAAAGGAUAUCUCGUGUCUCUCGCAUCGAAAAAAAACGCAGCAAUGUGAUAUAUAUAGUGUGUUUUGCAAAUUUCUGUGAAUCAUCAACUCUUUGAACGCCCCGUGCUCUCCUUGAUUUUCCGUGGAGCGUGCGUGUUUGAAUAUCAAGAACUCCUCAAAGUAAUAUCUUUUGUAAAUUCUUGUGGUUUUGCUUUGGUAGUGGAGGUCUAUUGCCUCUUCACCCCUGCCCCUCUUUUUUCUUUAUCUGGAUCUCAGUGUUGCUCGUGUCCCCUCUCCGCGUGAUAAGAUAUAUAGCGCAGAAGACUCUUUCUCAACCCGGAAAAAAAAUUUUGAGAGGGGCGGCCGGGGUAGAUGCAGAAGCACCGCUUCUAAUACUCUGUUGUCUUGAACAAUCAAUAUUGAUCAUCUCACCUCACAUCAAGUANGACUCCCCGCUGAUCUUCAUCUUANCAAUAAAGCGGAAGA
Molecule: unclassified non-coding RNA, 671 nt
Filed under: Rhizoctonia solani
Lineage: Eukaryota; Fungi; Basidiomycota; Agaricomycetes; Cantharellales; Ceratobasidiaceae
Description: sequence contains ITS1, 5.8S rRNA gene and ITS2
Rfam family: 5.8S ribosomal RNA (bases 197-352)
Source: RNAcentral